Molecule: ribosomal RNA, 497 nt
Filed under: uncultured bacterium
Lineage: Bacteria
Description: partial 16S ribosomal RNA
Rfam family: Bacterial small subunit ribosomal RNA
Source: RNAcentral
GAUGAACGCUGGCGGCGUGCCUAAUACAUGCAAGUCGAGCGAACGGACGAGAAGCUUGCUUUUCUGAUGUUAGCGGCGGACGGGUGAGUAACACGUGGAUAACCUACCUAUAUGACUGGGAUAACUUCGGGAAACCGGAGCUAAUACCGGAGAAUAUUUUGAACCGCAUGGUUCAAAAGUGAAAGACGGUCUUGCUGUCACUUAUAGAUGGAUCCGCGCUGCAUUAGCUAGUUGGUAAGGUAACGGCUUACCAAGGCAACGAUGCAUAGCCGAACUGAGAGGGUGAUCGGCCACACUGGAACUGAGACACGGUCCAGACUCCUACGGGAGGCAGCAGUAGGGAAUCUUCCGCAAUGGGCGAAAGCCUGACGGAGCAACGCCGCGUGAGUGAUGAAGGUCUUCGGAUCGUAAAACUCUGUUAUUAGGGAAGAACAUAUGUGUAAGUAACUGUGCACAUCUUGACGGUACCUAAUCAGAAAGCCACGGCUAACUACGUG